UCGUAGUUGAAUUUGUGUCUCGCGCUGUCGGUUCAUCGCCUGCGUGCGGUGCUAACUGGCACGCCGCGGGACGUCUUGCCGGAAGGACCGGUAUGUGUUUCGCUUCGUGUCGUUCUUAACGUCCAUGUACUCUAAAUAUAUAUACGUUAAAUUUAUGUUAUGUGCAUGCACGUGUGUACGUUUCAUCGAUCAUAUUAAAAAAAUGAUUCGAUGUUCGUUUAUCGUGUGUCAUGUAUCAUUUCAUUAUUUUAUACGUUUUAUAAAUAUUGUCAUGGCUCCGUUUCGCUUCGGCCGGCUUAGUGCAUACGUAGUCCGACUUUCAAUCCUGUCUAGGUGCUCUUAACUGAGUGUCGUGGCGGGCCGGCACGUUUACUUUGAACAAAUUAGAGUGCUUAAAGCAGGCUAUUGUUGCCUAAAUACAGUGUGCAUGGAAUAAUGGAACAGGACCUCGGUUCUAUUUUGUUGGUUUUCGGAAUUUCGAGGUAAUGAUUAAUAGGGACAGAUGGGGGCAUUCGUAUUGCGACGUUAGAGGUGAAAUUCUUGGAUCG
Molecule: ribosomal RNA, 548 nt
Filed under: Amblycheila baroni
Lineage: Eukaryota; Metazoa; Arthropoda; Insecta; Coleoptera; Carabidae
Description: bacterial SSU rRNA
Rfam family: Eukaryotic small subunit ribosomal RNA (bases 187-548)
Source: RNAcentral